CUUAAUGAUGUAAGUUUACUUUGAUGAAGAUAGUUCUUUAAAAUUUCUUAGUUUUCUAAGAAAAAUAUCGCUUUUAAAAUUGUACUUAUUUGGAAAAUAUUCGUAACUUUAAAUUUUUUUUUAUCGAUUAAUAGACAUAGAAAUGGAAUAAAAAUCUGUUCUAGUAUUCAACAAAAUUAUAUUCCACAUAUUACGAUAUAUUUUUUAAACGGUUUCAACGUAGAGGUUAUUGAAAAAUAGGACUUCAAAGUAUACAUUGCGGCCGUUUACCCAGGGAGGAGGCUGAUGAAAAGGUUUAUAUUUUUAUACACAUAAUAUAAAUCAAAAUUCUGAUCUGACUAUCUUACUACAACAAAAGUUGCUUUAUUAUAUUUCAAGAAUAUAAAUUACAUUAUUGCAUCCAACACUGAGAUUAACGACGUCAAAGUAUUACAAUUUCGCGGAUUGUUACCGAUUUUUGUGAA
Molecule: unclassified non-coding RNA, 464 nt
Filed under: Melitaea cinxia (Glanville fritillary)
Lineage: Eukaryota; Metazoa; Arthropoda; Insecta; Lepidoptera; Nymphalidae
Description: misc RNA ENSMCXG00005018748.1
Source: RNAcentral